AGCCCAGAGCCUGAAUCAGUGUGUGUGUUAGUGGAAGCGUCUGGAAAGGCGCGCGAUACAGGGUGACAGCCCCGUACACAAAAAUGCACAUGCUGUGAGCUCGAUGAGUAGGGCGGGACACGUGGUAUCCUGUCUGAAUAUGGGGGGACCAUCCUCCAAGGCUAAAUACUCCUGACUGACCGAUAGUGAACCAGUACCGUGAGGGAAAGGCGAAAAGAACCCCGGCGAGGGGAGUGAAAAAGAACCUGAAACCGUGUACGUACAAGCAGUGGGAGCACGCUUAGGCGUGUGACUGCGUACCUUUUGUAUAAUGGGUCAGCGACUUAUAUUCUGUAGCAAGGUUAACCGAAUAGGGGAGCCGAAGGGAAACCGAGUCUUAACUGGGCGUUAAGUUGCAGGGUAUAGACCCGAAACCCGGUGAUCUAGCCAUGGGCAGGUUGAAGGUUGGGUAACACUAACUGGAGGACCGAACCGACUAAUGUUGAAAAAUUAGCGGAUGACUUGUGGCUGGGGGUGAAAGGCCAAUCAAACCGGGAGAUAGCUGGUUCUCCCCGAAAGCUAUUUAGGUAGCGCCUCGUGAAUUCAUCUCCGGGGGUAGAGCACUGUUUCGGCAAGGGGGUCAUCCCGACUUACCAACCCGAUGCAAACUGCGAAUACCGGAGAAUGUUAUCACGGGAGACACACGGCGGGUGCUAACGUCCGUCGUGAAGAGGGAAACAACCCAGACCGCCAGCUAAGGUCCCAAAGUCAUGGUUAAGUGGGAAACGAUGUGGGAAGGCCCAGACAGCCAGGAUGUUGGCUUAGAAGCAGCCAUCAUUUAAAGAAAGCGUAAUAGCUCACUGGUCGAGUCGGCCUGCGCGGAAGAUGUAACGGGGCUAAACCAUGCACCGAAGCUGCGGCAGCGACGCUGAUGCGUUGUUGGGUAGGGGAGCGUUCUGUAAGCCUGCGAAGGUGUGCUGUGAGGCAUGCUGGAGGUAUCAGAAGUGCGAAUGCUGACAUAAGUAACGAUAAAGCGGGUGAAAAGCCCGCUCGCCGGAAGACCAAGGGUUCCUGUCCAACGUUAAUCGGGGCAGGGUGAGUCGACCCCUAAGGCGAGGCCGAAAGGCGUAGUCGAUGGGAAACAGGUUAAUAUUCCUGUACUUGGUGUUACUGCGAAGGGGGGACGGAGAAGGCUAUGUUGGCCGGGCGACGGUUGUCCCGGUUUAAGCGUGUAGGCUGGUUUUCCAGGCAAAUCCGGAAAAUCAAGGCUGAGGCGUGAUGACGAGGCACUACGGUGCUGAAGCAACAAAUGCCCUGCUUCCAGGAAAAGCCUCUAAGCAUCAGGUAACAUCAAAUCGUACCCCAAACCGACACAGGUGGUCAGGUAGAGAAUACCAAGGCGCUUGAGAGAACUCGGGUGAAGGAACUAGGCAAAAUGGUGCCGUAACUUCGGGAGAAGGCACGCUGAUAUGUAGGUGAAGUCCCUCGCGGAUGGAGCUGAAAUCAGUCGAAGAUACCAGCUGGCUGCAACUGUUUAUUAAAAACACAGCACUGUGCAAACACGAAAGUGGACGUAUACGGUGUGACGCCUGCCCGGUGCCGGAAGGUUAAUUGAUGGGGUUAGCGCAAGCGAAGCUCUUGAUCGAAGCCCCGGUAAACGGCGGCCGUAACUAUAACGGUCCUAAGGUAGCGAAAUUCCUUGUCGGGUAAGUUCCGACCUGCACGAAUGGCGUAAUGAUGGCCAGGCUGUCUCCACCCGAGACUCAGUGAAAUUGAACUCGCUGUGAAGAUGCAGUGUACCCGCGGCAAGACGGAAAGACCCCGUGAACCUUUACUAUAGCUUGACACUGAACAUUGAGCCUUGAUGUGUAGGAUAGGUGGGAGGCUUUGAAGUGUGGACGCCAGUCUGCAUGGAGCCGACCUUGAAAUACCACCCUUUAAUGUUUGAUGUUCUAACGUUGACCCGUAAUCCGGGUUGCGGACAGUGUCUGGUGGGUAGUUUGACUGGGGCGGUCUCCUCCUAAAGAGUAACGGAGGAGCACGAAGGUUGGCUAAUCCUGGUCGGACAUCAGGAGGUUAGUGCAAUGGCAUAAGCCAGCUUGACUGCGAGCGUGACGGCGCGAGCAGGUGCGAAAGCAGGUCAUAGUGAUCCGGUGGUUCUGAAUGGAAGGGCCAUCGCUCAACGGAUAAAAGGUACUCCGGGGAUAACAGGCUGAUACCGCCCAAGAGUUCAUAUCGACGGCGGUGUUUGGCACCUCGAUGUCGGCUCAUCACAUCCUGGGGCUGAAGUAGGUCCCAAGGGUAUGGCUGUUCGCCAUUUAAAGUGGUACGCGAGCUGGGUUUAGAACGUCGUGAGACAGUUCGGUCCCUAUCUGCCGUGGGCGCUGGAGAACUGAGGGGGGCUGCUCCUAGUACGAGAGGACCGGAGUGGACGCAUCACUGGUGUUCGGGUUGUCAUGCCAAUGGCACUGCCCGGUAGCUAAAUGCGGAAGAGAUAAGUGCUGAAAGCAUCUAAGCACGAAACUUGCCCCGAGAUGAGUUCUCCCUGACUCCUUGAGAGUCCUGAAGGAACGUUGAAGACGACGACGUUGAUAGGCCGGGUGUGUAAGCGCAGCGAUGCGUUGAGCUAACCGGUACUAAUGAACCGUGAGG
This 2631-nucleotide ribosomal RNA is filed under the name Escherichia coli. RNAcentral's name for it is "partial 23S ribosomal RNA". It matches the Rfam family "Bacterial large subunit ribosomal RNA", at positions 296 to 2915 of the family's 2925-position model. Lineage: Bacteria; Pseudomonadati; Pseudomonadota; Gammaproteobacteria; Enterobacterales; Enterobacteriaceae. The record is from RNAcentral.